ACCUACGGGGGCAGCAGUAGGGAAUUUUCGUCAAUGGGCGCAAGCCUGAACGAGCAAUGCCGCGUGAACGAGGAAGGUCUUCGGAUCGUAAAGUUCUGUUGAAGGGGAAAAAGAGCGGAGAGAGGAAAUGGUCUCCUAUUGAUAUUACCCUUCGAGGAAGUCACGGCUAACUACGUGCCAGCAGCCGCGGUAAUACGUAGGUGGCGAGCGUUAUCCGGAAUGAUUGGGCGUAAAGGGUGCGUAGGCGGCCUGCUAAGUCUGGAGUGAAAGGUACCGGCUCAACCGGUACAGGCUCUGGAAACUGG
RNAcentral lists this ribosomal RNA (305 nucleotides) under uncultured bacterium. Its description in RNAcentral is "bacterial SSU rRNA". It matches the Rfam family "Bacterial small subunit ribosomal RNA", at positions 337 to 636 of the family's 1533-position model. The record is from RNAcentral.